Molecule: ribosomal RNA, 253 nt
Filed under: uncultured bacterium
Lineage: Bacteria
Description: partial 16S ribosomal RNA
Rfam family: Bacterial small subunit ribosomal RNA
Source: RNAcentral
UACGUAGGGUGCAAGCGUUGUCCGGAAUCAUUGGGCGUAAAGAGCGUGUAGGCGGCCCGAUAAGUCCGCUGUGAAAGUCCAGGGCUCAACCCUGGGAUGCCGGUGGAUACUGUCGGGCUCGAGUCCGGAAGAGGAGUGUGGAAUUCCCGGUGUAGCGGUGAAAUGCGUAGAGAUCGGGAGGAACACCAGAGGCGAAGGCGGCGACCUGGACAGACACUGACACUCAACUGCGAAAGCGUGGGGAGCAAACAGG